UUGUUUACCCAUUUACCCCAUUUGCUUCGUUUUAAGCCAAAGAAGAAAGAGAGAGUUCUCUGGAACUCUCUCAACUCUCUUCGACGAAAGGAGAACGGCCACGGUGGCCGGAGAAUCCCACGGAGAGACCGGCGGUGGUGCACGGCGGUCGGAGAAGAGAAAUCGACUCCAAACGAUUCCCCUUCUCACCCCAAAGCCGAAAACCACCCUUACUCGACCUAAAAACAAUCCCACAAGCCCAGAUCUAUGAAAUACCUCUCGAAAAUAACCAACGAGCCGGCGACCUUAGGGCUUCCCGAAGCUCCUCCGACUAAGGUAUCCCCUUUCUCACUAUCUCUUUCUUUUUCUCCCUCUUUUUCUUUGUUUUCCCCUUUUUUAAUCUCUCUCCCGUUUUUAAGACACCCCAAUCCCCUCUCUGUAUUUCUUUUUUUCUGUUCGAGACUCCUUCCCCCACAUCUCCAAAAUUCCCUCGAAAAUAUAGUGCUCUCCCUCUUUUCUGUUGGAAUUCGGUCUCUUUCUUGGUGCAGAUUAUGGGCCUGAAUGUGGGUGGCCGACAGGUAUGGGAAACAAUGUAUGGGAGCUGGUGAAGGCAUGGGUGAGCUUGGUGGAGGAUGAUAGUGGGAGGCAACUUCACGUGGGGCAUGGGUGAGUGGAAGGGAACAUCAAGACUUGCAACUUGGCUAUUAGUAAGAAUGUAAUUGACCUGAAGCUCACGUGCUGCGACUUUUUCUCGCACAAAGUGAAGAUCUAGUUCAAUGUGUUUACUCUAAGCAUGCAAAAUAGGAUUUGCAGCCAUAGCAACUGCAUUGGUGUUGUCACACCAAACCUUUGGUACGUCCGGCAAGGGAACUGCCAUCUCAUGUAGCACAGCUUUCACCCACAUUACCUUAGAAGUUACAUCAGCCGGACUUCUGUAUGCGGCUUCUGCAGUUGAUCGAGACACUGCACGUUUUUUCGAGCUCCACGAAAGUAGAUGACCCCCAUUAUAGACACAGUAUCCAGAGACUGACCUUCUGUCAUCAACAUCUCCUCCCUAAUCCGAGUUAGAAAAAGCGUUGAGAGCCAAUGUUUUCUGCACUUGAGAAGAGAACCAAAGACCAGCUUCUAAAGAUCCUCGUAAAUACCUUAAGAUCUGUUAGACAACCAACCAAUGUACUUGUAUGGGUUCUUGUAGAAAUUAAGCAGUCUUAUUGACCGCAAUUGAGAUAUCUGACCGAGUGUGACAAAUAUAUUGAAGGGCUCCUACCACACUCUGAUACUGACGUGGUUCAUGUAGCAGCUUCCCAUCGUGCCUGUUAAGCCAUAGGAGCGGUAGCAGGGUUUACAUCAAACAUUUGGUUCUUUUGUAACAGUUCAGUGAUAAACUUUUUUUGGCUAGGAAGUAAUCCACGCUCAAACCUAUGGACCUUUAUGCCAAGAAAAAAUUUGAGCUGUCCAAGAUCCUUUCGAGGAAAAAAUUUCAUUGAACUUACGAAUGAUUCGAUCUGCA
This is a long non-coding RNA of Hibiscus syriacus, 1489 nucleotides long. RefSeq lists it as uncharacterized. Lineage: Eukaryota; Viridiplantae; Streptophyta; Magnoliopsida; Malvales; Malvaceae. The record is from RefSeq and is a predicted model, not a curated record. The transcript is spliced from 2 exons.